RNAcentral lists this ribosomal RNA (328 nucleotides) under uncultured bacterium. RNAcentral's name for it is "bacterial SSU rRNA". It matches the Rfam family "Bacterial small subunit ribosomal RNA", at positions 568 to 898 of the family's 1533-position model. The record is from RNAcentral.
CGUGUAGGCGGUGCGGUAAGUUGGGCGUGAAAUCCCCGAGCUUAACUCGGGUGGGCCGUUCAAGAUUGCCGUGCUAGGGUGCGGGAGAGGGAAGUGGAAUUUCCGGUGUAGCGGUGAAAUGCGUAGAUAUCGGGAGGAACACCUGCGGCGAAGGCGGCUUCCUGGACCGUAACCGACGCUGAGGCGCGAAAGCUAGGGGAGCAAACAGGAUUAGAUACCCUGGUAGUCCUAGCCCUAAACGAUGAGCACUGGGUGUGGCCCCUCACGGGGCCGUGCCGAAGCUAACGCAUUAAGUGCUCCGCCUGGGGAGUACGGUCGCAAGGCUGAA